GACGUGGCAACAGCUGACCCUUGUUCAAAGUAGCAUACAGCUAGCACAUGGGUUCCUCCCAAUGCUGUACCUCUAAGAAGCUUCACCCAGGCCCUGGUCCUCAUGCAGCUGGACCAACAAGCAGUAAACACAGCUACUCCAGAAGAGAAACAUUUCAGCUCCUCAAAGCUAAGGGAGGGCAGCUCGCUGAGGUCAGACACCAUCUACUGAGCUCCUACGGUUGGCAUGGCUACCAUUACCAAGUUGACUCCUUGUGAUGGCCUUUGAUAUAGGUAGGCAUCAAUAGUCCCAUUCUAUAGGUGAGGGAAGAGCCUCUCAGGUUGGAAGCCACUUGUCCUGAGUCACACAGAAAACUAAUUGUUUCUACCUAGGUCUUCCUGAUUGGAGGCCUAUACCACAUAGCCUUUCCUGUGGCCUGUCUCCUCCCCAUUGGGUAGAACCAAGGACAGUGCCAAUAACUGAGUAACCACUGUGUCACAGGUCCUCGGUGAGUGUCACUACAUGCUGGAGCCUAUAGAAAAAUCCAGAAAGCUCUGCUGUUUCCUAUGACAUGCUUUCUGUUCCACAGAGAGGGCCUGGAAUGUUCCCCAAACCAGAGUGCUGCAAUCCAGGUUGGUACAAGGACACACAGCCGUAGCACACAGAACCCUCUGGGCUGGACUUUCUGAGGCAGGAAAAGUGUCUGAUUCGUUAUGAAUAUUCAAAAUGUCCAUUUAAAAUGAUGUUUGCUUUGUGUUUAAAGAACUGGAGACAUUUAGGCCAGGAGCUGUCAAAGACGGUGCCAUCUUGGCUUUUGCAUUUAUUCUAAUAGGUAACAGGAGCAGAGUUGAAGUAUUUGGGGUGACCCCUGCUGGUCAUCUUGAAAAUCUCAUCUCAACUAAGGUAUUCAUUCAUUCUCUCUCUCUCUCUCUCUCUCUCUCUCUCUCUCUCUCUCUCUCUCGUUUUAGACAGAAUUUGACAUAACUUCAAGAGUUUGACAUGUUGGCUUCCAACUCACGUAGCUGAGGCUGACUGAUUCCCCUUUCUCCACCUCCCAAGUGCUAGGAUUCCAGGAAUAUGCCGCCAUGCCUGGCUGAAUCAUUCCUUCUUUCUCCACAAACAAACUUUUUAUUAGACCUCUGCCAUUCCCAGGCCAACCAGAAACAAAAUGUCAUGAAUGAGGUCAGACACACCUGGAGAUGCUGAGUGAGGCAGGAUGGAGGCUGGCUGCAGUCCCACAGGUGAACAAGAUGGAGCUGCUGAGGCUCUGUGGGAACCCCUGCAGCCCUGCUGCAGGCCAUCCCCACGCUGCUCAGGUUCCGUGUGCUUUCCCACCCAUUAUUAUAAACUUGCUGCUCAAAAUAGCAAGGUUAAAAACCCAGUCAGGCCCCCAGGGUGACAUCUGGGGGGUCUGUAGGGGCUAACGGGCAUGUGGACCUCAUAUCCAUCAUAGCACAGUUUGGAUUACAGCCUCCAGGAAGCCAUGGUCUGGAGUGCCAGCCCAUAAAAGGAGAGAACACUGAGUCAUGCUUGUCUCCCUGCCUCCCUUUCAAUCCACUUCCAAAUAUUUCCUGAUGCUUCUCCAGCCAGGUCAGGUUAUGUGAGUCACGCCAAGAACCAAUCGGCUCUUUGGAGUCUAUUCAUCUGGCCUCUUACCAAUAGUUAAACAGAACCUGGUCCAUUUUACAGGGAAGAAAACUGAGGCAUAGAAGGGAGAAACAAACAAGACAGGGUUCAGUUACCUUUGUACCUAAGACAAACUACCCAAGAGCCUCUGUUGGGAUAAUCAUCCAAUCAUUCGUGUAGGUGAAGAGGCUAAGGGUCCCUAAACUAUCCUUAGAUAUUUCACUUGCUUCAUGAAAGAAAGCAAAACAACAUACCUUUAGCAUCCAUACACCAUACACCAGUGAGUACCCAACACUACUGUGUAUGGUCACGUGCCAUACUUAACCCCUACAAGACAGGGUGUGUGUUUAUUUAGUUUUGUUUUUGUGCAAUGCUGAAAUUGAACCCAAGGCCCUGAACAUGCCAAGCAAACGCCAGCCUCACACUCAUACCCCAGGA
Mus caroli (Ryukyu mouse) is the source of this 2043-nucleotide long non-coding RNA. RefSeq lists it as uncharacterized. Lineage: Eukaryota; Metazoa; Chordata; Mammalia; Rodentia; Muridae. The record is from RefSeq and is a predicted model, not a curated record.